RNAcentral lists this long non-coding RNA (264 nucleotides) under Capsicum annuum. RNAcentral's name for it is "long non-coding RNA (CANN_LNC012928)". The record is from RNAcentral. Lineage: Eukaryota; Viridiplantae; Streptophyta; Magnoliopsida; Solanales; Solanaceae.
UUAGAUUUCAUUAUUUCCCUUUAUAUACCAUUCACAGCUUUAUCAAAUUUUCCACAAUUCAUUAUUUCUCAAUUCUCAAAAUACCGAGCAAAUUACUCUUGUUGAAUUUAGCAAAAAUGGUGUCAGCAACUGUGAAGAAGAGUUCUGCUGCUGCUGCUGCUGCUAAGAAACCCAGAUCUCGAGUUUCGAGUUUUAGAAGACAUCUUCUAUUUCUUUUCAUCCUUGCUUCUCUUUCAAUUGCGAUUCGUACUAGAUAUUUGGCAG